GCGGAUGGAGCUGACGAGAGUCGCAGAUACCAGGUGGCUGCAACUGUUUAUUAAAAACACAGCACUGUGCAAAAUCGUAAGAUGACGUAUACGGUGUGACGCCUGCCCGGUGCCGGAAGGUUAAUUGAUGGGGUUAGACUUCGGUCGAAGCUCUUGAUCGAAGCCCCGGUAAACGGCGGCCGUAACUAUAACGGUCCUAAGGUAGCGAAAUUCCUUGUCGGGUAAGUUCCGACCUGCACGAAUGGCGUAAUGAUGGCCACGCUGUCUCCACCCGAGACUCAGUGAAAUUGAAAUCGCUGUGAAGAUGCAGUGUACCCGCGGCUAGACGGAAAGACCCCGUGAACCUUUACUACAGCUUGGCACUGAACAUUGACCCUACAUGUGUAGGAUAGGUGGGAGGCUUUGAAGCAGGUACGCCAGUAUCUGUGGAGCCGUCCUUGAAAUACCACCCUUGUAGUGUUGAUGUUCUAACGUCGACCCCUAAUCGGGGUUGCGGACAGUGCCUGGUGGGUAGUUUGACUGGGGCGGUCUCCUCCCAAAGAGUAACGGAGGAGCACGAAGGUGGGCUAAUCACGGUUGGACAUCGUGAGGUUAGUGCAAUGGCAUAAGCCCGCUUGACUGCGAGAAUGACAAUUCGAGCAGGUGCGAAAGCAGGUCAUAGUGAUCCGGUGGUUCUGAAUGGAAGGGCCAUCGCUCAACGGAUAAAAGGUACUCCGGGGAUAACAGGCUGAUACCGCCCAAGAGUUCAUAUCGACGGCGGUGUUUGGCACCUCGAUGUCGGCUCAUCACAUCCUGGGGCUGAAGUCGGUCCCAAGGGUAUGGCUGUUCGCCAUUUAAAGUGGUACGCGAGCUGGGUUUAGAACGUCGUGAGACAGUUCGGUCCCUAUCUGCCGUGGGCGUUGGAAGAUUGAAGGGGGCUGCUCCUAGUACGAGAGGACCGGAGUGGACGAACCUCUGGUGUUCGGGUUGUGUCGCCAGACGCAUUGCCCGGUAGCUAAGUUCGGAAUCGAUAACCGCUGAAAGCAUCUAAGCGGGAAGCGAGCCCUGAGAUGAGUCUUCCCUGAUACUUUAAGUAUCCUAAAGGGUUGUCGGAGACUACGACGUUGAUAGGUCAGGUGUGUAAGUGCUGUGAGGCAUUGAGCUAACUGAUACUAAUUGCCCGUGAGGCUUAACCAUACAACACCCAAGGGGUUU
Molecule: ribosomal RNA, 1194 nt
Filed under: Vibrio parahaemolyticus
Lineage: Bacteria; Pseudomonadati; Pseudomonadota; Gammaproteobacteria; Vibrionales; Vibrionaceae
Description: partial 23S ribosomal RNA
Rfam family: Bacterial large subunit ribosomal RNA
Source: RNAcentral